This 483-nucleotide ribosomal RNA is filed under the name uncultured bacterium. RNAcentral's name for it is "partial 16S ribosomal RNA". It matches the Rfam family "Bacterial small subunit ribosomal RNA", at positions 28 to 507 of the family's 1533-position model. The record is from RNAcentral.
GACGAACGCUGGCGGCGUGCUUAACACAUGCAAGUCGAACGCUGAAGCUCAGCUUUUGUUGGGUGGAUGAGUGGCGAACGGGUGAGUAACACGUGAGUAACCUGCCUCCUUCUUUGGGAUAACGCCCGGAAACGGGUGCUAAUACUGGAUAUUCACUGGUCUUCGCAUGGGGGUUGGUGGAAAGGGUUUUUCUGGUGGGGGAUGGGCUCGCGGCCUAUCAGCUUGUUGGUGGGGUGAUGGCCUACCAAGGCUUUGACGGGUAGCCGGCCUGAGAGGGUGACCGGUCUCAUUGGGACUGAGAUACGGCCCAGACUCCUACGGGAGGCAGCAGUGGGGAAUAUUGCACAAUGGGCGCAAGCCUGAUGCAGCGACGCCGCGUGAGGGAUGGAGGCCUUCGGGUUGUGAACCUCUUUCGCUCAUGGUCAAGCCGCAACAAUGGUUGUGGUGAGGGUAGUGGGUAAAGAAGCGCCGGCUAACUACGUG